Molecule: ribosomal RNA, 97 nt
Filed under: uncultured bacterium
Lineage: Bacteria
Description: partial 16S ribosomal RNA
Rfam family: Bacterial small subunit ribosomal RNA
Source: RNAcentral
CACACCGCCCGUCACAUCAUGGGAGUUUGUUUUACCCGAAGUCGUUGACCAGACCGCGAGGAUGGAAGCGCCUAAGGUAAGGCAGAUGACUGGGAUG